RNAcentral lists this ribosomal RNA (465 nucleotides) under Vreelandella stevensii. RNAcentral describes it as "partial 16S ribosomal RNA". It matches the Rfam family "Bacterial small subunit ribosomal RNA", at positions 338 to 795 of the family's 1533-position model. Lineage: Bacteria; Pseudomonadati; Pseudomonadota; Gammaproteobacteria; Oceanospirillales; Halomonadaceae. The record is from RNAcentral.
CCUACGGGGGGCUGCAGUGGGGAAUAUUGGACAAUGGGGGGAACCCUGAUCCAGCCAUGCCGCGUGUGUGAAGAAGGCCCUCGGGUUGUAAAGCACUUUCAGUGAGGAAGAACGCCUGGUGGUUAAUACCCAUCAGGAAAGACAUCACUCACAGAAGAAGCACCGGCUAACUCCGUGCCAGCAGCCGCGGUAAUACGGAGGGUGCGAGCGUUAAUCGGAAUUACUGGGCGUAAAGCGCGCGUAGGUGGCUUGAUAAGCCGGUUGUGAAAGCCCCGGGCUCAACCUGGGAACGGCAUCCGGAACUGUCAAGCUAGAGUGCAGGAGAGGAAUGUAGAAUUCCCGGUGUAGCGGUGAAAUGCGUAGAGAUCGGGAGGAAUACCAGUGGCGAAGGCGGCCUUCUGGACUGACACUGGCACUGAGGUGCGAAAGCGUGGGUAGCAAACAGGAUUAGAUACCCGAGUAGUC